GCCUGGGUGGCUCAGUUGGUUGAGUGUCUGACUUCGGCUCAGGUCAUGAUCUCACAGCUUGUGAGUUCAAGCCCCACGUUGGGCU
This 85-nucleotide transfer RNA is filed under the name Felis catus (domestic cat). It matches the Rfam family "tRNA". From Rfam's summary of the family: Transfer RNA (tRNA) molecules are approximately 80 nucleotides in length. Their secondary structure includes four short double-helical elements and three loops (D, anti-codon, and T loops). Further hydrogen bonds mediate the characteristic L-shaped molecular structure. tRNAs have two regions of fundamental functional importance: the anti-codon, which is responsible for specific mRNA codon recognition, and the 3' end, to which the tRNAs corresponding amino acid is attached (by aminoacyl-tRNA synthetases). tRNAs cope with the degeneracy of the genetic code in two manners: having more than one tRNA (with a specific anti-codon) for a particular amino acid; and 'wobble' base-pairing, i.e. permitting non-standard base-pairing at the 3rd anti-codon position. Lineage: Eukaryota; Metazoa; Chordata; Mammalia; Carnivora; Felidae. The record is from Rfam by way of RNAcentral.